UACGGAGGAUGCAAGCGUUAUCCGGAUUUAUUGGGUUUAAAGGGUGCGCAGGUUGUUUGAUAAGUCAGUGGUGAAAGUCUGUCGCUUAACGGUAGGAUUGCCAUUGAUACUGUUGGACUUGAAUAUGGAUGAGGUAGGCGGAAUGUGUAGUGUAGCGGUGAAAUGCAUAGAUAUUACACAGAACACCGAUCGCGAAGGCAGCUUGCUAAGAUACAAUUGACGCUGAUGCACGAAAGCGUGGGUAGCAAA
RNAcentral lists this ribosomal RNA (249 nucleotides) under uncultured prokaryote. RNAcentral describes it as "partial 16S ribosomal RNA". It matches the Rfam family "Bacterial small subunit ribosomal RNA", at positions 524 to 772 of the family's 1533-position model. The record is from RNAcentral.